RNAcentral lists this ribosomal RNA (589 nucleotides) under Aspergillus flavus. RNAcentral's name for it is "eukaryotic LSU rRNA". The stretch from base 210 to 363 matches the Rfam family "5.8S ribosomal RNA". Lineage: Eukaryota; Fungi; Ascomycota; Eurotiomycetes; Eurotiales; Aspergillaceae. The record is from RNAcentral.
GUAGGUGAACCUGCGGAAGGAUCAUUACCGAGUGUAGGGUUCCUAGCGAGCCCAACCUCCCACCCGUGUUUACUGUACCUUAGUUGCUUCGGCGGGCCCGCCAUUCAUGGCCGCCGGGGGCUCUCAGCCCCGGGCCCGCGCCCGCCGGAGACACCACGAACUCUGUCUGAUCUAGUGAAGUCUGAGUUGAUUGUAUCGCAAUCAGUUAAAACUUUCAACAAUGGAUCUCUUGGUUCCGGCAUCGAUGAAGAACGCAGCGAAAUGCGAUAACUAGUGUGAAUUGCAGAAUUCCGUGAAUCAUCGAGUCUUUGAACGCACAUUGCGCCCCCUGGUAUUCCGGGGGGCAUGCCUGUCCGAGCGUCAUUGCUGCCCAUCAAGCACGGCUUGUGUGUUGGGUCGUCGUCCCCUCUCCGGGGGGGACGGGCCCCAAAGGCAGCGGCGGCACCGCGUCCGAUCCUCGAGCGUAUGGGGCUUUGUCACCCGCUCUGUAGGCCCGGCCGGCGCUUGCCGAACGCAAAUCAAUCUUUUUCCAGGUUGACCUCGGAUCAGGUAGGGAUACCCGCUGAACUUAAGCAUAUCAAUAAGCGGA